AAUCAUUUGUCUUUUAAAUGAAGACUUGUAUGAACGGCAAAACCUUUUCCAACUGUCUCCCCUCCCAUCCUUUCAAAUUUCUUCCUGUGUGAAGAAGCACAGAUACAUUAGAAAGACGAGAAGACCCUGUCGAGCUUUAACCACUAAGUGGGCCCUAUUUUUUUCAGGCACCACUAAAAGGUUUUGGUUGGGGCAACCAUGGAGAAAAAAAAUCCUCCAGAGCAAAUAGAAGAAAGCUUUUCACUAUUUUUACUACUGAGAACCAGGAACUGGUAUUCGGAAAAAGUUACCGCAGGGAUAACAGCGUCAUCUCCUCUGAGAGUCCUUAUUGACGAGGAGGUUUGCGACCUCGAUGUUGGAUUGGGGCCCCCUUAGGGUGCAGAAGCUCUAAACGGUUAGACUGUUCGUCUAUUAAAGCCCUACAUGAUCUGAGUUCAAACCGGAG
RNAcentral lists this ribosomal RNA (445 nucleotides) under Holothuria tubulosa. Its description in RNAcentral is "partial 16S ribosomal RNA". It matches the Rfam family "Bacterial large subunit ribosomal RNA", at positions 1963 to 2621 of the family's 2925-position model. Lineage: Eukaryota; Metazoa; Echinodermata; Holothuroidea; Aspidochirotida; Holothuriidae. The record is from RNAcentral.